AUCCUUGUUAGAAGACAC
RNAcentral lists this small nuclear RNA (18 nucleotides) under Arabidopsis thaliana (thale cress). RNAcentral describes it as "snRNA_01755". The record is from RNAcentral. Lineage: Eukaryota; Viridiplantae; Streptophyta; Magnoliopsida; Brassicales; Brassicaceae.